CUCCGCUGCGCUCCUACAGUUGGGCCCUUCUUUCUCCACCUCCCUCCCCCUCCCGCGCGUUGCUCCGGCUUGUGUUCCCGGGUUCCCUCCCCGGCGCGUCUUUCCCGGCCCGCCCGGUGCAUUGUGGGCUGACGUCUUGGUUUGGCUGUCUAGUGACGGAGGCUGCCGGGUCCGCUGGACCCUUGCGGAGUCUGUCGGAGGCGGGCUCAAGUUCAGGGCUGGGGACCCAGACCGAGACGCGGGGAUCCAGAAAGCUGGGGAGACGCGCUGGUGGCCUGGGGCGGAGGGCUUGGGUGGGAGUAGAGGUUACACACACACACACACACACACACACACACACACACACACACACACACACACACACGAACACACGAACACACCCGUGAAAGGGCUGAAUGAUCUGGGCGAUUGAAGCUGGCUCCGCACCCCCGCACUUCCGGGAGACAGAGCGACGCGGGUUAAUAUGGUUGUGUUCGCCCCGGGUGCGGGAGCGGCAAGUGGGUUGAAGUUGAGCGGGUUUGAGAGUGGCCCUCCCACGCCGAGUGCGCAUGGAAGUUUAGUUUCGGAGAAGGAUCUGCGCCGCAGUGUGCUGUGCUGGAAACCAGAGAUUUGCUGUGCUCGGAAUGAAUUCACCAGGGUCCCCGGCACAACACUUCAUUUUCUGGGGACGUGCCGGGAGGGGUUCGCUUUACCUCGGAGGGACCCCCUUCUAGGUGUGAAAGAUGCCACCCCGGCUCCUUGGGGUAUGGAAAGCAACAUAUAAAGGUUCGAAACUCAGGAAACCCCAGCGCUCGCCUGCACUAGCACAUACACACAGCCCCGCGCACACUCAGUUCGCGCCCGCCCUUCCUCCCUCCCUGAUUUGCUUCUGGGAAAACAAGCCUUGAGAGCUGCGGACUCGCCCCGAGUCACGGUGCUUAAGCAGGAGUCCCUGGUAGAAAGACUGAAAAAUCCCCUCCCCGCUCGAUGGUGGAUUCAUAUCCUGUGCGGCCUCUAGGAAGCGCUAGACACAUCUAUCUUGGGAGGCAUACAUUUUUACCUAGACUUUUCGUGGAAGGAAAUGGUCCCAGAAAGUUCAUGCGUCUUGCUUGGGGUAUACAGACAGCUGGAAAGUGAGCUCAGGCUUGCUUCAGAAAGUCACACAUCUUCCCAUGUCACCUGACAAUACAAGGGACUUCAAGGACAUACAGAAGAACAGAGUCCUUGGUCUCUGAAUGACCCUGUGGAAGGAUACUCACUGGCCAGAAGUAGUCCUUCCAGACUUUGAAUGACAAAUCAACUUCAUUGUGCUGGUCCACUGGGAUUUUGGAGUAAAGAUGGCAAUAUCUUCUAAUUCCACUUGGUGUUUAGGAUGCCCUUCAUAAGAAGAAACCCUGGGUCAAAGUUGAGGCUUAUGUUCUGGCUUUCCCAGCUUGAAAAGAAAGAAACUUGUAUACUGUCACCUUCCUAUUGAGGGUGCAAACUUCAUGAGGUAUGUUAGGUAUGUGUUUGUCUUUUUCUGUUUCUCAUCUUUGAGUGGGUGUUUAUUGAAAUGCCAGGUGCUUUUCAGUUGUAUUUCUGAAUGCAAGCAGUACAUAUUGUUAAACAUUUUAUUAAUAUAUUCAAUAUUUUUGAGUGUUUAUUGCAUUUUAGCAACUGGUAAUCAUUGCUAAGCAAGAGCUUCUCGGCAUGCCCAUUGGAGGAGGUAUAGCAAGGGAAAUGGAUGAGAGAGAAGACAGGGUGAGGCCAGCCUGAUAGUGUUCUGAGUUACAGGAUUCCUGUGUGGAAGGGCCUCUCUGCUAAGGAAAGAGGUUGAAGAAAGUGCUUUGGAAAAACUGGUUAAUCAGCAGAAACUUCCAAAGUAGGUGGGAAUAGCUGGAAGAAGAGGAGACGUCAGAGAGGACGUAUUCUAGGAAGAGGGGAUGUAGAUGUUACGGACCAGGGCAUAUUUGGAGCUGUAAAGGAGGGGUGAGGUGGAGGGACUUGGAAUAGAUACAUCUGUGCACAUGCUUAAAAGCCUUGGUAGGCUUUAUAAUGUGGUCAAGCACCAUAUGAAAAGUGUUUAUUUUCCUAGGAGAAGAUGUACCACAGCCAUCAGGAUGUAGCCAUUUGUGUAGUUUCUACUUUAUUGUGUUAUGCUCUUUGUUUCAGAGUUUUCUACAGUGAACAUGCUUUACACUUGCAGAUAGAUAGAUAGAUAGAUAGAUAGAUAGAUAGAUAGAUAGAUAACCCCAACAUGUUUUCCAUCUGAUUAGUUGUGAUCCUAUCACCUGGCCCUUGAAAGAAGUCCUCUGGAAGAGCUGAGGCACAGAGAUGAUUUCCAGUGAAGCUCAAAGUCGUUCAUGGAGAUGUUAUUGGAUUGCGCUGGGGACCGCAGUUCCUUGAUAAUGAGUAAUUGUUUGCUCAAGCUUUAGCCAAGUGUAAAUAUAAAUAUAACCGGGAUGGUUUACCCGUCCAUUGCCAUCCAUGCACUACUGUACCGAGUGCUGUGGCUGACGUGAGAACUGAAUGCAUGGAGCUGCAAUGGUGGACUCCAGGCCUGCUUCGUCAUCGUCAGAUAUGUCAUUUAACAGCUGAGCCUCGCUUUCCUCACAUGAAAAAUGAUUGCGAUGAUUGAUAUUUACCUCAGAGAAUUUAAAUGGGACUGCCACCGUACCUAUGGGAAAGUCACUGCUGAACUGGUGACAUUUCUGUAUAUAUGUAUGUUAUUUAGUGUUUAUAUAUUUAUACGUGGAUUCCUGAAAUAGCAGUUCCGCAGAGUUGAGCAUUAGAAAACAGCUGGUCUUUUGCAAGGCCCAGUUUGAGGCAGACCAUACAAGCUGCUAGAAUACCCUGGCCACAGUGUUAAGACAAAACUGAAAGAAACACAAACUGAAAGAGAUUUGAAUGAGGAAAUACACCCACACUUACAUGCUAACAGCUAAUAGGGGACUUUACUUUGAAGCUAGCCAAGGUUGCUUGACAGAAGGCUGAGAAAAGAUGAGGCUGCUGAGUGAAGCCAGAGAGAUUAUGCUCAAAGUCAAGUAGAUACCAUACAAUAAGCUUUUCCAAGGUCUAUCAUCUUGGGAGGAAAAACAAACCAAACCAAAACCCUUAUAUUGCUGUCUUCCCACUGGUCAGCAGACUUUCAGUAACUCUGCCUUGCUGUAAGGUGCAUCACAGUGUUGUGCAUUAGAGCAGUGUGGGCCACACAGGCAACUGGCAUGUUUCAAACUUCCACAGAUUUCUUGGCUUCAUUAUCAGGAGAAGUAUGCGAUCCCAUAGGUAAUGUUCAGUAAGAGAUGUAUCUGUCCUGCCCCGUCUCAGACUGAUCACGUUCUGCCCUCUGUCUCCUUGGCUGUAGGGCUCCUCUUCACUGGCUGUGAACUCCUUAAGUAAGGUUCCUGAUGUUCAUGUUUGUUCUCUAAGGUUGAGCACAGGGUCGGUCCCUGGAACAGAGCCGUUGCAUUGCAGUUGAACUUCUAGUAGCCAAGGCAAACCUCUGGACCCUCUGUGGUAGCACCAGGAUCCACCAACAGGCAACACAAGCUGAGGCCCGGAGGCUUCUGUGGGACCAUGUAUGAUUCCACUUCAUCUCCUGCAACCCUGUUGCUCUCCAAUAUGGCAAGAGGAGCAUUGGGUCUUCCUCCUUUGUUAAGACAUUUAUACCAGUUGAGCAAGAAGUCGGUGCUAGAGCGGCAGCAGCCGGUUUGGAGCGCAGUCUCUUCCUCAUGGAACCCUGGCCGGAUCACUGGUCUUCACCACCACUACCUAGUGCUUCCAAUGCGCCCUGGCUGUCUCUCCACACUCUCAAGGUCUUCUUCACUCAUCUUCUUGGCUGUGUGGAUCUGAAAACACACAGCGUUUGUCCGUAAUCUCAUCCUCAUCCACACUGACUGUGGAUAACCGGAUGUGUUUUGUGAGGCCCCUCAGUCUCAACAUGGUUUUACAGACUCGGUCCUAAGCAGGUAUCACAUUCUUACUGACCCACAGCUGCUGUGCUACUUAGGUUUGUGUCUGUUGGAAUUCCAGGGCAAAUAUUUAUAAUUAUAUCAGCUCAGAGAGUACUUCUUCUGCAUACUUCUGAGUUCAGAACCUCAGACUUUUUUCUUAAAGCUACUCAGCGUCUCACUCAGCCAGAGGAGAAGAGACCUGUCCGCUUUAGCUCUCCACUCUUUGUAGUUCAACAGCAGCCUGGUUUAGGCCGGGACAAGGGUGAAGGUGGUGGAGGUGGUGGUGAUGUAUUGAUGAUAAAGAGAACAAUAAUAUCUAUGAGAAUUUUAUUACCCCCAUUUUACAGAUAAAACAACUAAGCUUCACAGAGGUGAGGUAACUUCCUCUGCCAUCCAGGUAGGACUUAACAGAAGGUGGGGUUUACAUCUGGUUCCACGUGAUUCUCCACUCAUCCGCACUCCACCACUCCCCAGGUGGAUGGUCAGGGUCAGGAGCCUCGUGAGUGAGAACAACAGGUCUGUCGAGUUCUGCAGGGCUGAGCUGUUUAUCAUUGCGGAGGACACUCAUCACUGUGCUAAUUACAUUAAUUGCUGCCCACUCUGAGGCUAGCUCCUUCCUGCAAUGGCCCAAGACUGUAAUUACAGGUUGGAUUGGUUGGAAGUUGGUUGCUCUCUACCAUGUAGGGGAAAGGUCAAGACUAUGAACAUUGCUCUUCAUCAGACGCCUUACUGGAAGCAGAGAGGAAGGAUGAGGGUUCCUGUGGUAAUCUCAUGAUUCUCUAGAAGCAGGUGCUCUCCUACCCUCAUUCUGUUUGAGGGAGCCUGGUCAGCUGCUUGGAGUCCAAGAGCUAGCGGGAGAGGAGACAGUCUGAAAGCAGGAACCAUCAGAAGUCAUCCUUAGUGCCCAUAACAUAGUACCCCUCACCAGGACACUGCUCUGUCUGACACUGAAGUAUUGGCAGGGUCGGGCAAGGUGCCAACAAGUGGGUUUUGUCUAUCCCUAAAUGAUGACUGCUUGAGAUCUCACCUGCUCUGCCUUCCUUCCUGAGAUUCCAAGAGAAAUUGCUUGGAAGUGUAUUAAAUGCAAACUAAGUCAGAUGUAAGCCAUGGUGUUUUUCUGUUUGAUCUGUUAAGAGGUAAUUUGGAGACUACUUCUGCAUACUUGUUGAACAGAGACAGAGUGGCUUUGGUAAUUCAUCAUAAUUGAGUAAGUGACUUAACUUCCACAGAAAGCAGAGGAUAAUUUGGGAAGUCACUGGCUUUGGAAUGCUGUAUGUUCAUGUACUUUAUGGGUGUGCCCAUAUCAUUUGUGUGGGUAUAAAUGUCAAUGAGUUUGUGUGUGUGUAUGUGUGUGCAUGCGUACUCAUGUAUACGGGUGUGUGUGUGUGUGUGUGUGUUCCUGUCACACUUCCUGCCAGAGUUCAAAUUUGAAUGUCCGCUGAAAACCAUGUGUUAAAAACUUGGUCCUCAGCCUGAUGCUACCGGAAGAUGCAUCUAGAAGUUCCUUCAGUAGGUGAGGUGUAGUGGGGCACGCUCUAGAAGAGGAAGGGGGAAAUGGGUACAUUUCUCUUUUUGUCUUUUCCAUAAGGUGAGUGGACUUCUUUGGAUAAGCACUCCUGCCAUGCUGUUCUGUGUCACAGUCACAAGACAAGGAAGCCAAUCAGUACCAGACUGAAACCCCCCAAACUGUGAGCCCUCCUUCAGACUGACUUGCCAGCACUCUUCUUAAAGCAGAAAGCUGACUAGCACACCCACCAACCUUCUAUGAACGAGAUUUGAGCUCUGUUCUACUAAUCUUAAUGCAUUCUAUAAUUACAUAGGGAAGUAAGGAUAUUUGGAAGUAGACCAGAGUGUAUCUUGGUUCCGCCUUUAUUAACUGCCAUGCCUUGGACAAGUCACUUCACCUCUCUGGGCACUGAUUUCUCAUUUCUAAAAAUAGGGAUAAUAACAGUCCUGACUUGAUGGCACUCCUACAGGCUAGGAGGUUUCUGAGGGCAGGAACUAUGUUUAUAUACUGUUCUGUCCUCAGCCAGAAUGAGGUUUGAGCUGAGUGUGGCCUUGGAACUUAAGGUAAUACUUCUAUUCUGAAUCCAAUAUUUCCCAAUUGGCUGAGCAGCCUUGGAGAAAUUACCUAAUGUUCCUGAGCCUCAGAUUUCAUACCUAUGGAAUAGAGAUUUUUUAUUCCUCCUUGAAAUGAUUGCUGUGUGGUAAGGUGAGACCUACAAAGGCUUGUGUGGCAGAUGGUUAGCACAUAGGAGGCAGCUGGCAAAGCUUGCUUCUCUCAAAGUCUAGUCUCUGUCCUAGAGUGUUACCUUCACCAACAGGUAUUGAAUUUCCACUUGAUCUGAAAAUCUCGUAUUUGGAUCUUCACCACCACACCCGUCUUUCCCAUUUCUUUCUUUCCUUUCCUUUCCCUGUGUUGCCCUCUCAUUCGGCUCUGCUGUGACUGAGUUCCUCUGGACCAACAGUAGGCCCUGGAUGCUCAGCCCUCUCACUAGCCUCGCCUCCCUCAACCUCUCCUUCCACAACCCUGGGCAGAUCUUGUUCUCAUGGACUGCUUCCAGCACAGGCUACUGCCUCAGCUCUGGCCUAACUGGCUGUGUGAGCCUUCUGGUAAACUCUGGCUUUACUAUGGCAGAACAGUAGAGACAGAAAGAGGGACCUCAAAACAAACACAAGAAACUGGUUAACCCAAAAAGACGGAAUGCGCUUCUCUAACAAAUGGAACACGCACAAGAAAUGGGUUUGCAUACAUGUACCUGCUCUUUGGAGUAUAUGCUCACUGCCAACCCCUUAUUCCUCUCUUUUCUCUCCCCCAUCUCUCGCUCUUGGUUUUUUAUCUUUUUGGCUUUUCGAGACAGGGUUUCUUUAUAUGGUCCUGGCUGUCCAGGAAUUUGCUAUAUACAAGUUGGCCUUGUAUACGAAGGAUGGCCUUGAACAGAGAUCUGCCUGUCUCUGCCUCCCCAGUUGCUGGAGUUAAAGGCAUGUGCCGGCACCCCUGGCCUCUUGAUAGACUGUCCUUAUUUCUGUUUCUAAUCAUGUGACCCAUGCCCAAUUCUUUGCCACAGGACACAAGAACCUAGAUAUGGAUUCAAAUCCCUGCCUCUCACAGCAUCCCUAGUGCCAGCUCACUCUGGGUGGUAGCAACCACCAAUGGCUCCUGGCUGUGAUGGGAUAUUUCCAGAACUUUCUUGGUUUGAGGCUUUACACCUGUCAUCUCUCUUCCUUCUGAGGAUCUGCUGACUGGCACUCUUACUUCCUCAGGCCUCAGCUUACAGGCUGCCUCCUCAGAAAGCCCCCCUCCAUGGCUUAUGCAAAAUAAUACCACAAUUGCUCCUGAUCCCCUCCAUUUCGGCUUCCUUCUUCUCACCUGUAAGUGAUCCAGUAUGAAUUCAUUCAUUCAUUCAUUCAUUCACUCUAUUUUCAGUGACAGGGACUGAAGCCACAUUCUCAAUGUGUGCUAAGUCUGUGUUCUUAAUUUAUUCUUAAUUGUUUCUCUCCCUUAGGUAGCUUGUGAGCAUAUAAAAACAGGUUGUGUGAGCCUUCUGCAGACCAUGACACAUAGUAGGUGCUUAGACAAAACACACCAUGGUUUGAAUGUGUGUGACCACUUAUGAAAUAGUAGGGAGGGGCCUACAGGAUGUGUUAGGCAAUUCCAGGCCUAUAUGGUCCACUGGGCAAAUGACAAGGCCUUAAUGAAGUCAGGUCCCCCUAAAGGCUUCUGUGGAAGUCCUACUGUGUGCACAAUAGGUUCAGGAGCAGGGUCGUGGCAUCAACACAAUGAAAAGCACAGUUCCUGCUGGCUUUUGUGCUCUGUGGCUCCUAUAACAAUUACAAGCUUGGUAGCUUAAAUAGUAAAAAUUUAUUUUCUCACAAUUACUAGACACCAGGACAUCUGAAACUAAGGUGUUAGUUAGCAGGGCUGAGCUCCUUUGGUGGCCUCUCCCCUGUGGAGAGUUGUUUCACUUUCAGCAGCAUAACUUUGAAAGUGUUUUCACUGUGUCUCUCUGUAUCCCAAAUCUCUUUCUUUCUCUGAUAAGAACACACGGUUGAAUAGAAAGCUUGUUCUGAACCUCAAGUGAUCUCUCUUUGAAACCCUUCCUGCUCCAAAGACCCCACUUCCAAAUUAGGUCCCCUUCAUAAGGACUGGAGCUGAGGACCUGGCUGUAUUGUUUAACUCACCACGGUGCCUUCCAGGAAUGUCUUGUCUGAGAGUGGGACAGGCACAGCUUAGCAAUCAGUGUCCCAAGCAAGAGUGAGACCAACCAUUAUGGCCUUAGGCAGAGAUUAUUCAGUAUAUUUUAGUCAAGAUUCAUGCGCAGAGACUUUGCUGGGGAGCAGAGAUGACAAAAUGUAGCCUCUGCCCUGGGAGAGUUCAUGGGAGAAACGGAAGUAAGUCUGCCAGUGGGCCCUGGAGAGGUGGAGGUCGGCCCUGAAGCCCUGGGAGAUGAACCGGGGAGAGGAGUAAUGAGAAGGGUCUGAGGGGAGGGGUUCAGAGAGCUUCUUGGAGGAGGUGUAUGAAACACCGAGGCUCCAAGACUGAGAGAAUAGGAACCAGCUAGGCCAGAAAGCAGGGAAGGAUGAAGGCACAGAGAGUAGUAAGACUGGAUACAUAGAGGUGGAAUGGGGACCCGAGAAAAGUGGCUGCUGCAUUCCCCUCCAGGUCGCACUGGGGAGCCACAGAAAGACCUAGAGAAGGAAAUGAUAUCCCUGGACCUGCAUAUUAAAAUAAAAAGAACAGAAAGCCUGCUGAGGAAAGUGAUUUUCUAGAGGUUUGAAAUUAUAUUUGUGAUUUUUUUUAGAAAGUUUAACCUAUGUACAGAAAAGUGCUCAAGUCACAGAAGUGCAACAGAAAAUGUCCUCACAGACAUACCCACAGGCCCACAGACCAGCCUGAGGAAGGAUAUUUCUCAGGAACAACUGCAAAUGAAGCGCCCCUGUAUGUGAGGACAGCCCUGGGGUUGGGGGAGCAGGGACUAAAAGCUACAAAUGCUAAAAGCUCUGCAGUACAGACCUGACCCAUAGGUCCUUCUCUUAAGCCUGUAAGAGAGUGUGUGGCCCAGGACUGGACUGAACUGGAGCUCCCAGCAUGGUCUGGGGUGGAGAGAUUGAGGAAGGACUCUGUGUGAGCAGGGCAGAUCACUGGACUCUGCUUUUCUUGGCCUCCACUUUCUCUUCAACAGUCUGACAAUAGAAUUACUGCCCUCCUUGUGAUCGGAGUCUAGGGGGCUGACUUGGGGAUGAAAUGAAAAUGUGUUUAUGGUUUAGGGGUAGGGCCCAACCCAGGACAGCAUGUAGGCAAAAGCAGUGGCCAGGAAUUGACUCCAGAUUCCUUGGGGCUGGAGCUCUCUCUAUACAAAAGAAGGAAGUUGGAGAAGACUUUUAAUUCUUUUCUAUUUUUUUUCUCCUUAGAUUGUCUUUUUAGAAUCUUAAAACCCUGAUUCUUUUGUCUAAUUGGGGGACUUGAAGCAGUCUGUGGGAAAUGAAUGGCAUAUUUGAUAAUUAGGUAUCCAGUGUUGGAUGCUCGUCCUAGUUACUGUGAUAAACACCGUGACCGAAAUCAACGGGGAGGAGAGGGGUUAUUUGGAUGUCAGGGCAGGGAUGCAAGGCAGGAACUGAAGGAAAGACCGUGGUGGAGGAGCGCUUCUUACUGGCUUACUUCCUCUAGAUGCUCAGCUACGUUUCUCAUAGAGUCCUGGCCCAGGGAUGACAAUACCCACAAUGGCUUGGACCCUCCCAUAUUAAUCAGAAAUGAAGAAAAUGUCCUCACAGAUAUGCCCGCAAGCCAGUCUAAUGAACGCUAUUCCUCAAGUGAGGUUCCUUCCCUCCUCCCAAGUGACUCUCUCCUCAACUUAACAAAAAACUAACCAACAUAGCACACCUUUACUGAGGCCUGUCAUGUGUGAGACCCGCCCUGCACAGCAGACCACUUGGGAAACUUCCAGGUUAGUAUAAUAUUGUUCCAAGGAAUCUCUUCAUGUCUGAUGGCUGAAGAACUUCCGGGGCCUCAGAGAGAGCAGCAGUAGCUCAGAGUCUACUGGCAGGCACAUUAAGGGCUAAAAUACUGCUUAGGUAAAUACACCACUGCAAGUACCUGUAGUCAGCUCUUAGUGGUCACCCUAGAGUGGGUAGCAGUUGGUUGGAGUCCAGGAAGAUUGUGGGAGCUCCAGCAAAGGGUAUGUGUAAUUGCCAAACCGUUCUGUUUGUUAAGACAUCUGUGGAUAGCAGGAUCUGUCCCUACCUGCCUGGUUCUCCGGGGAGGGGGAGGGGCAGUCAGUCACUAGAACAGAGAUGGUCUCACACACCAUGUUCUUUCCCAGGCUGGAGUAAGUACAGAUGCUAGACUCAAGGGGAGAAGAGUGGUCAGGGAACAGUGCCAGUGCUGGUUGGCAUCUGGGUCAAGCCCAGAAGACUCAUGGAAGUCUCGGAGUGCCAUCUGCAUCUCAUCAGAGGGGCUCUGGGUUGACUUGAGUAGUCAGGCAACUCUGGCAGGCACUGGCUUUAAGGCAUUGACUGAGUUGGAUUUGAGAGCCCUAGAUAGAAUAUCGGGCUAAACACUACAUUUUUCAGAACCAGUUUUUCACCUGCUAACAAUAUCACAAGUGUGGAGGUUUAUACAUAGGCAUAUAUGCUGUUUUUAGGUACUGUAAUUCUUACUAAAUAGUAUUUGUAACUUAUAUUAGGAUGGGGGGUGCCAGGGGCUGUGUCUGUGUACAUCAAUUCCUAGUAAAAUGACCAGCAACUUCUCAGACUCUUUAGGCUGGGACUAAUGAGGGGAAGUUUGGGUCAAGCUGGUAUGCCUGGCGCCUACAGCUGUGUCUCAAAUACUGAGGAAUAAACGAAUUCCACUACUUGGGUUUUCUUCAGGCCAAGCCCACUGAAAUAAAGAAGCUGAGGUUUCCAGAAAAGUCUGCUCCUCCGGUGUAGUUGGCUGGUUGACUGACGGUGGUCCAGUGAUAACGUUAUUGGCCUCUGGGUCGCUUUACACCCCGGUGGAUCUCUGAAACUGCUGUGGCCCCUUUCAUCCAGCCCACUUUCUUCGUGGGACUUAAAAUUGAGCACAGAUCAUGGAAGAUUUUCAUCAUGGUCCUGGGAGUUGGACUCCUAGUACCUGCUAUGGCUACAUUAGGGUCCACCUGGCUUAUUGGCUGGUAGCUAGUUCCCUUGGGAACCAGAACAAUCUUCCUGCACAUUGAGUAAUCUGCUUCCUUUCCCUGCCCGGGGCAAGAGUCGGCUCAGGGAAAGUGAAGAAACCAGUUUGGGGCAGCACUAGGGUGGGCGUGGGCUGGGCACUGCCAGGAACUCUGCGGCAAGACCAGUUUCCAUUGCUUCCGGACCGGAUGCAGGGCUGCGAUCCGGGCGGAGACCAGAGAAUUGCGCCCGUGAGCGCACCUAUGAGAGCCACAUGUUAUUCAGCAGACUGAGUCAAGCAGAUUGUCCUCUCUAACGAGGCUAACUCUUCUCCAGUCAGUUGAAGAGAUGACCUGGACAGAAAGGUAGGAAGAAAAGAAUUGUAGCUUUGAAUAAGACUAUCAGCCUUUGGGGGCUUUGUUCGGUUUUUAUGUUCACAUUCACAAUGUAUCAAUGACCCUUCUUGGGAUGUUAGACCACCCAGCCUUGGACUGAAACCACAAUAUCCACUCUUCUCUAUCUUGGACUUCAGAUAUGGAUCAGAACUAAAUCAUAGACUCUUCCAAGUUUUCAACUGCUGACUCAUCUUGUAAAUCCUGGGACUUUCCUGAGUCUGUGGUAAAUGUCACAUGUGCUGACUCCUUAUAACCCCCCCCUCUCUUAUGCUAACUCACUGUAGAACCUUGAUAAACAACACAAUAGGAUCAUCUUUGUCUCCAUUUGAAUGUAACAUGGCUUCUUCAGCCAUCACCUGUUUUUAUCUGCAGAACAGUUCUCUGGAUCAGACAGAGCAGCCCUCUGAGAAUCCUCACCUACAGAAGAGGAAACUGAGGUCUAAGAGGGAUUCUAUCUGUGCUUCUAUGGCCUAGCUGCCCAGAAGUAGAACAACUUCAACCCCAAAGUCAAGGCCCUGCAGAAAGUCAGGAAGGGUGGAAGAACAGCUACUCUCAAUUUUUAAUAUAGCAUUGGCCAUCAAUUUAGAAACCUCUUGAUAUCCCCUGAGAAGAAAUAAAAGACUAAAAAUGUGGACUUAGGUAAAUCUUAUAAAACAAUAUAGAAGCAAGGUCUAGUAGAAAAGCUGUGUCUAGACUUAAAAGAAGAAAAGCAUUUACCAAUAUUCUAGAUGAAUCAUGGUCUAUUUGGGUUUGAAACAAUUUGAGAGGUUAUUCCUUUUGAUUCUUUCUUUUCACAGUAAGAACACUAAGGCCCAGGGAGGAUCUUUGGCUUGUCCCUCUGUACAGCUUGAGGGGAAGACACUGCCUGCUUAGAGGCCUCAUCUGUCAAUCCAACACUUGAUUGUCUACACUGCAUGCUGAUGCUGACGACCCAGAUGCAGACUGUUUCCUCCAUGUUCUGUCCUCAUGGACUGUCUCUUUGGAAUAUCCCAUGUUCAUAGAUAUCAUCUGAGAUGUCGCCACUCACGGCCCUGCAUUUGUAGUGAAGAUGCUUCAGCCUCAGACAAUCCUGUGUCUCCAUCCCAAUCCCUUCUUACUAAUAGGGGAAAUAUGGCCACACGUCUUGCUCUUCAGGCUCUGGAUUUUGUCAUCAUGGAGGCCCAAACACAGUAUUUAUGACUCAUGGUUUCUCUUGAGGACUACGAGAUGAAGCCGGCAACACAAUAUGGACACUGUAAAUGCUCUACAAAUUGAGGGACAAGCCCUGUAUUAAAGGGGGCCCAGAAUACAUACUGUGUUCAAGGCUAUGUUGAUGCCAGUUCUGUUGGCUCAUGAAGCUAGCAGUGAACCACUCCUGUAUACUGAAGUAGUGGUGACUGUCCCUGUUGCUGUAAGAAGCCCCUUUCUUCUCUGGUCCAUGCUUUUCCAUUUAUAAAAUGGGCACAGUCAGAACUCCUACUGUGCAGGAGCUGAUGGUACUGCUUGGCAAGCCAAGCAAAGGAAAUGAGUAUUCACCCACUUACUAUCUUAUCUCCUCACUUGCUAAGGAAAAGCUAAUAUAUGGUUGGUAGAGUUCAGUAUAUGAUAAGAUUAUCAUUUUAAUUAUCAUUGUCACCAAGUUUCCUGGGAUAGGUGAAGCUCUUGGAUGACAAAGACUUUGACAAAAAUAACGGAUCAAGCAUAUCAGAGGAGUCAGGUAUGGGAACACCUGCCUGUAAUCCCAGAACCUGGGGGGCAGAUGCAGGAGGACUGUUGUUUGAAUAGCCUGGGCUACCUACUGAGUUCUAGGCCAGCCUGGGCUGUAAAAUAAGAUGUUUGUUUUCUGUUUUGUUUUUGUUUUUGUUUUAAAGCAAACAAACAACAAUCUACACAAUGAAACAUUCACCAUGUCUGGAGUCAAAAUGGAAAAUAGCAUAAAUAAGAUUUGUAGA
RNAcentral lists this small RNA (13368 nucleotides) under Rattus norvegicus (Norway rat). RNAcentral's name for it is "uncharacterized LOC100911221". Lineage: Eukaryota; Metazoa; Chordata; Mammalia; Rodentia; Muridae. The record is from RNAcentral.